CCUACGGGUGGCUGCAGUGGGGAAUCUUGCGCAAUGGGCGAAAGCCUGACGCAGCGACGCCGCGUGGGUGAUGAAGGCCUUCGGGUUGUAAAGCCCUGUGGGGAGGGAAGAAUGAGUUCGGGUGAAUAUCCCGAGCGAUGACGGUACCUCCUUAGCAAGCACCGGCUAACUCUGUGCCAGCAGCCGCGGUAAGACAGAGGGUGCGAACGUUGUUCGGAAUUACUGGGCGUAAAGCGCAUGUAGGCGGCCGCGCAGGUCGGGUGUGAAAGCCCUUG
RNAcentral lists this ribosomal RNA (275 nucleotides) under uncultured bacterium. RNAcentral's name for it is "partial 16S ribosomal RNA". It matches the Rfam family "Bacterial small subunit ribosomal RNA", at positions 338 to 606 of the family's 1533-position model. The record is from RNAcentral.